AGACGCCACCUGAUACUGGUGUGACUAGAGUCCGGUAGGGGAGUGUGGAACUCCUGGUGUAGCGGUGAAAUGCGCAGAUAUCAGGAAGAACACCAGCGGCGAAGGCGGCACUCUGGGCCGGUACUGACGCUGAGGAGCGAAAGCGUGGGUAGCAAACAGGAUUAGAUACCCUGGUAGUCCACGCCGUAAACGUUGGGCACUAGGUGUGGGUCUCAACCAACGAGAUCCGUGCCGCAGCUAACGCAUUAAGUGCCCCGCCUGGGGAGUACGGCCGCAAGGCUAAAACUCAAAGGAAUUGACGGGGCCCGCACAAGCGGCGGAGCAUGCGGAUUAAUUCGAUGCAACGCGAAGAACCAGUCGUGGAGG
This 366-nucleotide ribosomal RNA is filed under the name uncultured Actinomycetes bacterium. RNAcentral's name for it is "bacterial SSU rRNA". It matches the Rfam family "Bacterial small subunit ribosomal RNA", at positions 618 to 981 of the family's 1533-position model. The record is from RNAcentral. Lineage: Bacteria; Bacillati; Actinomycetota; Actinomycetes.